AAUUUUAUACAAUGGGCGCAAGCCUGAUCCAGCCAUGCCGCGUGAGUGAAGAAGGCAUUCGGGUGGUCCGGCUCUUUCGGACGGAAAGAAAUCGCGCAGGCUAAUAUCCUGCGCGGAUGAUGGUACCGUCAUAAGAAGCACCGGCCAACUACGUUCCAGCCGCCGCGGUAAUACGUAGGGUGCUAGCGUUAAUCGGAAUUAAUGGGCGUAAAGCGUGCGCAGGCGGUUGAUUAAGACAGGCGUGAAAUCCCCGGGCUUAACCUGGGAACUGCGCUUGUGACUGGUCAGCUAGAGUACGGCAGAGGGGGGUGGAAUUCCACGUGUAGCAGUGAAAUGCGUAGAGAUGUGGAGGAACACCGAUGGCGAAGGCAGCCCCCUGGGCCGAUACUGACGCUCAUGCACGAAAGCGUGGGUAGCAAACAGG
RNAcentral lists this ribosomal RNA (424 nucleotides) under uncultured bacterium. Its description in RNAcentral is "partial 16S ribosomal RNA". It matches the Rfam family "Bacterial small subunit ribosomal RNA", at positions 360 to 776 of the family's 1533-position model. The record is from RNAcentral.